CAGUCGCCGCGGUAAUCCGUAGGUGGCAAGCGUUGUCCGGAAUUAUUGGGCGUAAAGGGCCCGCAGGCGGUUUCUUAAGUCUGAUGUGAAAGCCCCCGGCUCAACCGGGGAGGGUCAUUGGAAACUGGGAAACUUGAGUGCAGAAGAGGAGAGGGGAAUUCCACGUGUAGCGGUGAAAUGCGUAGAGAUGUGGAGGAACACCAGUGGCGAAGGCGACUCUCUGGUCUGUAACUGACGCUGAGGAGCGAAAGCGUGGGGAGCGAACAGGAUUAGAUACCCGUGUAGUCCCUGUCUCUUAUAC
Molecule: ribosomal RNA, 301 nt
Filed under: uncultured bacterium
Lineage: Bacteria
Description: partial 16S ribosomal RNA
Rfam family: Bacterial small subunit ribosomal RNA
Source: RNAcentral